UGACGAGCCUAACAGAUGAAACUCCCUCAACAUGCACCAAUAUUGUUAAUGCAGGGGGGCUAAGAAUUUUCGCUGAACUGCUCGAGGAUAACGAUCCCAGAUCAAAUAAAGGGGUUCUCAUGAAUUUGAACAAUUUGACGGAGGUACCAGAAAUUUGCUACCACUUCUUGAACGGCAACUCCGGUGCAGUGGAGUGUCUACUAAAAUUUAUGAAUUCAGAUGAAAUACAU
Non-coding RNA from Styela clava, 230 nucleotides. Lineage: Eukaryota; Metazoa; Chordata; Ascidiacea; Stolidobranchia; Styelidae. The record is from RefSeq and is a predicted model, not a curated record.